RNAcentral lists this unclassified non-coding RNA (279 nucleotides) under plant metagenome. Its description in RNAcentral is "partial contains small subunit ribosomal RNA, internal transcribed spacer 1, and 5.8S ribosomal RNA". The record is from RNAcentral.
UUUCCGUAGGUGAACCUGCGGAAGGAUCAUUAACGAGUUAGGGUCUUCCAGGCCCUACCUCCCAACCCUAUGCUUAUUUAACCUCUGUUGUUUCGGCUGUCCCGUCUCACAGCCGCCGUGGGAGUCUUCGCGAGGCACCCUCUUGCCAGCUUCCGCCGAUGGCCAACCUCAACACUCUUAAUGUAUCGUUUCAUUAUGUAUAAUUCUAUGAUUAAAUUAAAUCAAACCUUUCACCAACGGAACUGUUGGUUCUGGCAUCGAUGAACAACGCAACAGCAC